This 400-nucleotide ribosomal RNA is filed under the name phytoplankton environmental sample. RNAcentral describes it as "partial small subunit ribosomal RNA". It matches the Rfam family "Eukaryotic small subunit ribosomal RNA", at positions 587 to 989 of the family's 1831-position model. The record is from RNAcentral.
AGCUCCAAUAGUGUAUAUUAAAGUUGUUGCAGUUAAAAAGCUCGUAGUUAGAUUUCUGGCGGGAGCGAUCGGUCCUUCACUCAGUGUUGGAACCUGAUUGUCUCCUGCCAUCCAUGGAGAAAACUUAUCUGGCAUUAAGUUGUCGGGUAGGCAAUCUCCAUCUUUUACUGUGAAAAAAUUAGAGUGUUCAAAGCAGGCUUAUGCCGUUGAAUAUAUUAGCAUGGAAUAAUAAGAUAGGACUAUGGUACUAUUUUGUUGGUUUGUGCACCAUGGUAAUGAUUAAUAGGGACAGUUGGGGGUAUUCGUAUUCCAUUGUCAGAGGUGAAAUUCUUGGAUUUAUGGAAGACGAACUACUGCGAAAGCAUUUACCAAGGAUGUUUUCAUUAAUCAAGAACGAAAG